RNAcentral lists this ribosomal RNA (653 nucleotides) under uncultured Acetobacterium sp. Its description in RNAcentral is "bacterial SSU rRNA". It matches the Rfam family "Bacterial small subunit ribosomal RNA", at positions 66 to 718 of the family's 1533-position model. The record is from RNAcentral. Lineage: Bacteria; Bacillati; Bacillota; Clostridia; Eubacteriales; Eubacteriaceae.
ACGAGACGGGAUGGAAUGACCCUUCGGGGGAAUGAAAUCCUAGAAAGUGGCGAACGGGUGAGUAACGCGUGGGUAACCUGCCCUAUGGAAAGGAAUAGCCUCGGGAAACUGGGAGUAAUGCCUUAUAAUAUACGAGAGUCGCAUGGCUUUUGUAUUAAACGCUCCGGUGCCAUAGGAUGGACCCGCGUCCCAUUAGCUAGUUGGUGAGAUAACAGCCCACCAAGGCAACGAUGGGUAACCGGUCUGAGAGGGCGAACGGUCACACUGGAACUGAGACACGGUCCAGACUCCUACGGGAGGCAGCAGUGGGGAAUAUUGCGCAAUGGGGGCAACCCUGACGCAGCAAUACCGCGUGAGUGAAGAAGGUUUUCGGAUCGUAAAGCUCUGUUAUUGGGGAAGAAAAAAGACGGUACCCAAGAAGAAAGUCCCGGCUAACUACGUGCCAGCAGCCGCGGUAAUACGUAGGGGACAAGCGUUGUCCGGAUUUACUGGGCGUAAAGGGCACGCAGGCGGUUUUUUAAGUCAGAUGUGAAAGGUACCGGCUCAACCGGUGACAUGCAUUUGAAACUGAAAGACUUGAGUAUUGGAGAGGCAAGUGGAAUUCCUAGUGUAGCGGUGAAAUGCGUAGAUAUUAGGAGGAACACCGGUGGCGA